This 39-nucleotide small RNA is filed under the name Arabidopsis thaliana (thale cress). Its description in RNAcentral is "ATSL201360". The record is from RNAcentral. Lineage: Eukaryota; Viridiplantae; Streptophyta; Magnoliopsida; Brassicales; Brassicaceae.
AGUGAGAACAUUAAUGAGAAACGGCCAUUGAACUGAUUC